RNAcentral lists this ribosomal RNA (254 nucleotides) under uncultured bacterium. RNAcentral describes it as "partial 16S ribosomal RNA". It matches the Rfam family "Bacterial small subunit ribosomal RNA", at positions 524 to 776 of the family's 1533-position model. The record is from RNAcentral.
UACGUAGGGUGCAAGCGUUGUCCGGAAUUACUGGGCGUAAAGAGCUCGUAGGCGGUGUGUCGCGUCGGCCGUGAAAACCUGCAGCUUAACUGUGGGCUUGCGGUCGAUACGGGCAUCACUGGAGUUCGGCAGGGGAGACUGGAAUUCCUGGUGUAGCGGUGAAAUGCGCAGAUAUCAGGAGGAACACCGGUGGCGAAGGCGGGUCUCUGGGCCGAUACUGACGCUGAGGAGCGAAAGCGUGGGGAGCGAACAGG